AUUGAACGCUAGCGGGAUGCCUUACACAUGCAAGUCGAACGGAGUGGCGAACGGGUGAGUAAUGUAUCGGAACGUGCCCAGUAGCGGGGGAUAACUACGCGAAAGCGUAGCUAAUACCGCAUACUAUUGGAGCGGCCGAUAUCGGAUUAGCUAGUUGGUGGGGUAACGGCUCACCAAGGCGACGAUCCGUAGCUGGUUUGAGAGGACGAACAGCCACAAUUGGAAUGAGAAACGGGCCCGGACCCUACCGGAGGCAGCCGGUGGGGAUUUUUGGAAAUGGGGGAAACCCUGAUCCAGCCAUCCCGCGUGUGCGAUGAAGGCCUUCGGGUUGUAAAGCACUUUUGGCAGGAAAGCGGUACCUGCAGAAUAAGCACCGGCUAACUACGUGCCAGCAGCCGCGGUAAUAC
RNAcentral lists this ribosomal RNA (407 nucleotides) under uncultured bacterium. RNAcentral's name for it is "partial 16S ribosomal RNA". It matches the Rfam family "Bacterial small subunit ribosomal RNA", at positions 30 to 526 of the family's 1533-position model. The record is from RNAcentral.